Long non-coding RNA from Oncorhynchus tshawytscha (Chinook salmon), 897 nucleotides. The record is from Ensembl. NCBI's taxonomy places the organism in Eukaryota, Metazoa, Chordata, Actinopteri, Salmoniformes, Salmonidae.
CUCGAAUCAACGCACAGUCCCCGGGACAGGCUGCUCGCUCGAGCGCCCGGUGGUCGCCCUACAUGACACCCCGCACUCAGAAGAUCCGGAUUUUUAAGGAUUUAACUCAAUAACCCUGGAAUCUAAUCUGAUUUACUUUUUUUGUGAGAUAACCCGCAUCGUAUCCUGUGUAGGCUAUGCUAUGCCUGUGUAAACUGUGACCAAGCAGGUAUGCAGUUGAACCGGCCGAAGAGCGCUUUAGUGACGAGCUUCAGCCCGCCGAUGGUCCCGGAGACAGCAGCCAGUAGGAGUACCAGUACGGUUUCCUUCUCCAGACAGUUCAAAACAAUGCGCUUCUCCUACCACAUCAGCAGCGGCAUGCCAAGUCCACAACCACCGCUGCGCGGGAUACGCCCGUCCUCUUCCAGUCCUCGGCUGAUGACUAAGAGCCUGUCUCUGGAUCCUGGUGCUCACGGUGCCUGCCUCGGGGCCCAUGCCGAUGACUCAGACACCCAGACCCCUCGCCUCAGCUCAGACCCCGGAUCCCUAACCUCCGGGUCCCUUGGUCUGCACCCAUCCAUGCCCCUGCUGUACCCAGCUGGACACGGCUGUAACGGAGGAGACAACGGGAGUGGAACUCCUCAGGAAGUGCCCUCCACCGCCCUCAAGAGACGCCCUCCUCUACCUGGGCCUAAACCACAAGUGCCCCCAAAGCCUCCUCACCUGCAGCAGAGUGCUGGUGCUCCUAGGCCCUGCCCCCGCGUCCCGGACAAGCCCCUCCCACCUCCCCCACCCUGCAGACCUCUGCCUGCAGACCCCAGAGGGGGAGGACCCUGCCGACUGCCGACACUCCCCCGCGCCGAGGGACGCUCCUCCCCCACCGCCUGUGUGCUCUCCCUCAUUGAGAAGUUUGAGAGG